This 1056-nucleotide ribosomal RNA is filed under the name Arcobacter sp. D2043. Its description in RNAcentral is "bacterial SSU rRNA". It matches the Rfam family "Bacterial small subunit ribosomal RNA", at positions 30 to 1097 of the family's 1533-position model. The record is from RNAcentral. Lineage: Bacteria; Pseudomonadati; Campylobacterota; Epsilonproteobacteria; Campylobacterales; Arcobacteraceae.
UGGGCCAGGGCGGGGUGCUUACCAUGCAGUCGAGCGAGAGCGGAUUAUGGCUUGCUAUAAUUGUCAGCUAAGUGGCGCACGGGUGAGUAAUAUAUAGGUAAUGUGCCCUAGAGAGGGGGAUAACAGUUGGAAACGACUGCUAAUACCCCAUAUGCCUUUAAGACAGAAGUCUGCAAGGGAAAUAUUUAUAGCUCUAGGAUCAGCCUGUACGGUAUCAGUUAGUUGGUGAGGUAAUGGCUCACCAAGACAAUGACGCCUAACUGGUUUGAGAGGAUGAUCAGUCACACUGGAACUGAGACACGGUCCAGACUCCUACGGGAGGCAGCAGUGGGGAAUAUUGCACAAUGGACGAAAGUCUGAUGCAGCAACGCCGCGUGGAGGAUGACACAUUUCGGUGCGUAAACUCCUUUUAUAUAGGAAGAUAAUGACGGUACUAUAUGAAUAAGCACCGGCUAACUCCGUGCCAGCAGCCGCGGUAAUACGGAGGGUGCAAGCGUUACUCGGAAUCACUGGGCGUAAAGAGCGUGUAGGCGGAUUGAUAAGUCAGAAGUGAAAUCCAAUAGCUCAACUAUUGAACUGCUUUUGAAACUAUUAAUCUAGAAUAUGGGAGAGGUAGAUGGAAUUUCUGGUGUAGGGGUAAAAUCCGUAGAGAUCAGAAGGAAUACCGAUUGCGAAGGCGAUCUACUGGAACAUUAUUGACGCUGAGACGCGAAAGCGUGGGGAGCAAACAGGAUUAGAUACCCUGGUAGUCCACGCCCUAAACGAUGUACACUAGUUGUUGUGAGGCUCGACCUUGCAGUAAUGCAGUUAACACAUUAAGUGUACCGCCUGGGGAGUACGGUCGCAAGAUUAAAACUCAAAGGAAUAGACGGGGACCCGCACAAGCGGUGGAGCAUGUGGUUUAAUUCGACGAUACACGAAGAACCUUACCUGGACUUGACAUAGUAAGAACUUUCUAGAGAUAGAUUGUGUCUGCUUGCAGAAACUUAUAUACAGGUGCUGCACGGCUGUCGUCAGCUCGUGUCGUGAGAUGUUGGGUUAAGUCCCGCAACGAGC